Molecule: ribosomal RNA, 512 nt
Filed under: uncultured bacterium
Lineage: Bacteria
Description: partial 16S ribosomal RNA
Rfam family: Bacterial small subunit ribosomal RNA
Source: RNAcentral
GAUGAACGCUGGCGGCGUGCCUAAUACAUGCAAGUCGAACGAAACUUCUUUAUCACCGAGUGCUUGCACUCACCGAUAAAGAGUUGAGUGGCGAACGGGUGAGUAACACGUGGGCAACCUGCCCAAAAGAAGGGGAUAACACUUGGAAACAGGUGCUAAUACCGCAUAACCAUAGUUACCGCAUGGUAACUAUGUAAAAGGUGGCUAUACUACCGCUUUUGGAUGGGCCCGCGGCGCAUUAGCUAGUUGGUAGGGUAAAGGCUUACCAAGGCAAUGAUGCGUAGCCGAAUUGAGAGGUUGAUCGGCCACAUUGGGACUGAGACACGGCCCAAACUCCUACGGGAGGCAGCAGUAGGGAAUCUUCCACAAUGGGCGAAAGCCUGAUGGAGCAACGCCGCGUGGGUGAAGAAGGUCUUCGGAUCGUAAAACCCUGUUGUUAGAGAAGAAAGUGCGUGAGAGUAACUGUUCACGUUUCGACGGUAUCUAACCAGAAAGCCACGGCUAACUACGUG